Molecule: ribosomal RNA, 460 nt
Filed under: uncultured bacterium
Lineage: Bacteria
Description: partial 16S ribosomal RNA
Rfam family: Bacterial small subunit ribosomal RNA
Source: RNAcentral
CCUACGGGCGGCAGCAGUGAGGAAUAUUGGUCAAUGGACGAGAGUCUGAACCAGCCAAGUAGCGUGAAGGAUGACUGCCCUAUGGGUUGUAAACUUCUUUUAUAUGGGAAUAAAACAGGGUAUGCAUACCCUCUUGUAUGUACCAUAUGAAUAAGGAUCGGCUAACUCCGUGCCAGCAGCCGCGGUAAUACGGUGGAUCCGAGCUUUAUCCGGAUUUAUUGGGUUUAAAGGGUGCCUAGGUGGAUGUUUAAGUCAGUUGUGAAAGUUUGUGGGUUAACCGCAAAAUGGCAGUUGAUACUGGAAGUCUUGAGUACAGUAGAGGUAGGUGGAAUUCGUGGUGUAGCGGUGAAAUGCUUAGAUAUCACGAAGAACUCCGAUUGCGAAGGCAGCUCACUGGACUGCAACUGACAUUGAUGCUCGAAAGUGUGGGUAUCAAACAGGAUUAGAUACCCGGGUAGUC